AUUUAAUGAGGUAUUGGGGAUCAACUCAAGCCUUUGCUGUAAGCUAGGAAGCACUCUACCAAGUGAGCUACAUCCCUGGUUCUUAAAGUCAUCCCCCCCCCAACCCCACACAGAUUAAAAGGAGAGCAGUUUGCAAUCAGAGGGAAAUGGGUGUGGCUUGGGGGCCAGCUGCCUACUUGUGCAGACAACUCAGAAGGCAUCUUGUGUGAUUCUGGGACGCUGUUCUGGUUUCCUGUUAUCCAUAUUAAGGAGGUGUGAGGUCAUCUGUGGUCAGUCUUCUCUCUACCAGGGCUUGGAAACGGUCAGGAAAAAGCAGCCAAGCAUGAAAUGAACAAAAUCACCUACAAAGAGGAACGGAUAAAGGACGGUAUCCGGGGCCACCAUGUACACAGGGAGGCAAACUCAUUAUAAGGAGGCAAAUUCACUCCAGUGUUGUGAAAGACAAGUGAGACGCACAUUCAUUAAUAGCACUGGAUUAUCUUAAAAGUAUUUACUUCAAGGUGUUUCAUCUGGUGGCCACAAGAAAAGGAGGGGUCUGUAUGAGUUGCAAGUCCUGCACGGUGUGCUGUGGAUCCAUUUUUAAUGUUAUACCAAUAGAGGAACCUAUGAGUGCAGACACUGACUUCCCACUGGAAAGGAGAAUAAUUACCUCAAACAUUGAUAAUGGCUGGUGCAGGGAAUCAUUUCCAUGAGGUAUAGAAGAGGGGAUGCUUAAAUUUCCUUGAUGGUUGACUUCCUUCUCCUAAAUGCAUGUCCUAACACCGUACCUCAAAGCAACAAUUCUUGUUUGACAGGAUUUCCCCACCAUCAUCAACCAAAUUGUAAAGUGUGGCUGAAGAUUAUGAAGAGACUGUGUCACUAUGCCCAUUUAAGGGUACAUUGCACCAGGGCAAACCACAGGGCAAGGCAAAGAAUGAACUAGUCAAACAUUCCUAUGUGCAAGAGAGAGCAAGAAAAAUUCCUGGGUUUGUCACAUGGAAGCUAAAUAACUCCCUUUUAUGGGGGGGGGGGCAUUCCUUGUACUGCCCUCUGCCUUAUGGGGAUUCUCUGAUGACUGCUUGAGACACACCUGCCACCCAGAGGAAACAUCUCUCUGUGCCUUAAAACCCAGCUGAGUGCCUGAUUAGCAAGGAUAGCUCAGAAUCCUCCUGCAUCCACUCCUUGCUCUUUAAGUCCUGCAGACUAGGAAUGGCCUUGCAGCUAUUUAAC
Molecule: long non-coding RNA, 1209 nt
Filed under: Cricetulus griseus (Chinese hamster)
Lineage: Eukaryota; Metazoa; Chordata; Mammalia; Rodentia; Cricetidae
Description: lncRNA (ENSCGRG00015036402.1)
Source: RNAcentral